Molecule: non-coding RNA, 156 nt
Filed under: Podiceps cristatus (great crested grebe)
Lineage: Eukaryota; Metazoa; Chordata; Aves; Podicipediformes; Podicipedidae
Description: Eukaryotic small subunit ribosomal RNA
Rfam family: Eukaryotic small subunit ribosomal RNA
Source: Rfam by way of RNAcentral
CACCACCCGUCCCUAUAGGCCGGUUUAGUGAGGUCCUCGUAUCCACCCCGGUGGGGUCGGCCCCAGCCCUGCCAGACCAUUGAGAAGACGGUCAAACUUGACUAUCUAGAGGAAGUAAAAGGUGUAACAAGGUUUCUGUAGGUGAACCUGUGGAAG